AUACGUAGGUGGCAAGCGUUAUCCGGAAUUACUGGGCGUAAAGCGCGCGUAGGUGGUUCAGUCAGUCAGAUGUGAAAGCCCCGGGCUCAACCUGGGAACUGCACCUGAUACUGCUGAGCUAGAGUACGGUAGAGGGCAGUGGAAUUUCCGGUGUAGCGGUGAAAUGCGUAGAGAUCGGAAGGAACACCAGUGGCGAAGGCGACUGCCUGGACUGAUACUGACACUGAGGUGCGAAAGCGUGGGUAGCAAACAGGAUUAGAUACCCUGGUAGUCCACGCCGUAAACGAUGUCAACUAGCCGUUGGGGGACUUGAUCCUUUAGUGGCGAAGCUAACGCGAUAAGUUGACCGCCUGGGGAGUACGGCCGCAAGGUUAAAACUCAAAUGAAUUGGCGGGG
This 396-nucleotide ribosomal RNA is filed under the name uncultured bacterium. Its description in RNAcentral is "partial 16S ribosomal RNA". It matches the Rfam family "Bacterial small subunit ribosomal RNA", at positions 523 to 918 of the family's 1533-position model. The record is from RNAcentral.